RNAcentral lists this non-coding RNA (30 nucleotides) under Rattus norvegicus (Norway rat). Lineage: Eukaryota; Metazoa; Chordata; Mammalia; Rodentia; Muridae. The record is from RNAcentral.
UCCAGAAUGUGUGGGAGAUGCCCUGGUAAU